RNAcentral lists this long non-coding RNA (307 nucleotides) under Solanum tuberosum (potato). Its description in RNAcentral is "long non-coding RNA (STUB_LNC004015)". Lineage: Eukaryota; Viridiplantae; Streptophyta; Magnoliopsida; Solanales; Solanaceae. The record is from RNAcentral.
AUGCCAUCAUCCCUGGCUGUGGUUGCAUAUAUUGAGACUGUGAGUAAUCAUGCCUAGUGUGCAUCUGCAUGGGCUGGUACUGAGGAAAACUAUUUUGUUGCUGAGAGGACAUCAACAUCUGAUGGUGAUCAAGUGAUCCUGCAAUGUUAGAAUCCAACAUAGGAACAUUACCAGAAAUGGAACCUGUCACUGCAUUAGCUCUCAUUUUCCCUUUAAAAUCAUCUGGAUAUCCAAUUAAUCUAUAACAAUUUCCUCUCACAUGACCAGUGAGAUGACAAUGAUCACACUUCUUCAACUUAUUACAAUC